This 440-nucleotide ribosomal RNA is filed under the name uncultured bacterium. RNAcentral's name for it is "bacterial SSU rRNA". It matches the Rfam family "Bacterial small subunit ribosomal RNA", at positions 355 to 792 of the family's 1533-position model. The record is from RNAcentral.
UGAGGAAUAUUGGUCAAUGGACGGAAGUCUGAACCAGCCAUGCCGCGUGAAGGAAGAAUGCCCUAUGGGUUGUAAACUUCUUUUAUCUGGGAGCAAUAAGCGCCAUGCGUGGUGUGAUGAGAGUACCAGAGGAAUAAGCAUCGGCUAACUCCGUGCCAGCAGCCGCGGUAAUACGGAGGAUGCAAGCGUUAUCCGGAUUUAUUGGGUUUAAAGGGUGCGUAGGCUGACGCGUAAGUCAGCGGUGAAAUAUCUCGGCUCAACCGGGAGGCUGCCGUUGAUACUGCGCGACUAGAGUUCGAACGGCGCCGGCGGAAUAUGUCAUGUAGCGGUGAAAUGCUUAGAUAUGACAUAGAACACCGAUCGCGAAGGCAGCUGGCGAGGACGUAACUGACGCUGAGGCACGAAGGCGUGGGGAUCGAACAGGAUUAGAUACCCUGGUA